UGGGGGAUAUUGCACAAUGGGCGAAAGCCUGAUGCAGCGACGCCGCGUGGGGGAUGAAGGCUUUCGGGUUGUAAACCUCUUUCGCUAUCGAACAAGGCCCGCUUAGGGUGGGUUGAGGGUAGGUGGAGAAGAAGCGCCGGCUAACUACGUGCCAGCAGCCGCGGUAAUACGUAGGGCGCGAGCGUUGUCCGGAAUUAUUGGGCGUAAAGGGCUUGUAGGCGGCUUGUUGCGCCUGCUGUGAAAACGCGGGGCUUAACUUCGCGCGUGCAGUGGGUACGGGCAGGCUUGAGUGUGGUAGGGGUGACUGGAAUUCCAGGUGUAGCGGUGGAAUGCGCAGAUAUCUGGAGGAACACCGAUGGCGAAGGCAGGUCACUGGGCCAUUACUGACGCUGAGGAGCGAUAGCAUGGGUAGCGAACAGG
RNAcentral lists this ribosomal RNA (420 nucleotides) under bacterium. RNAcentral describes it as "partial 16S ribosomal RNA". It matches the Rfam family "Bacterial small subunit ribosomal RNA", at positions 355 to 776 of the family's 1533-position model. The record is from RNAcentral.